AGGCGGAUUUAGGGGAUGGGGAUAGGUCGGGGGACGGGGUUUGGGGAUGGCUAACUGCGCCCUUCCUAUGCAGCGUUAGAAAGCAGCACACAAAAGUACUCGUUAUCGCUGUUUCCUCGUCUAAAACCAGCUCCGCUCGCGCCAGCUCCCCUAACCCCACCCCGAAAAACCUGUGCGCAAGCAGCCGCCGGCAACGACGGACUUGCGAGAAAUACCGGUAAUUUAGCCGUCGCCUGACAACGGCACGAAACACGCAGCCCUUCUCUAAGGGUAUUUGCGAGAAAGCGAAGGCGCUUUGCUUUGUUUGCUUAGGUUGGCGAUGAAAAGGAGUGAAUGUUACGACGGCUUUAUAAAGCUAAUAUCGCCUGGGAAGAAAAACACCAUCAAACGCACCGGGUUGUUGUGGCAGCUCGUGUUUGAGCGCACGCAGCCAAUUUCUGCAAAGGGCUCCGCUGGCGCGGCUCCGCGGAGCGGCCUCCGGCUCGGCUCAGCUCGGGCUUCGCGAGAGCUUCCCGGUGGCCGCCAGGGAGGAUCCCCUGGAAGACCAAACCUCAUCUGUCACGUUAAAUGACUUGAGUCUUGGCUACCUGACCCAAACUCCCCGGUACAAAUUAUAUGUAGCGCUAAGCCUCAAACUGCCCCGGAGCUGUCACUCCCCAGGGUGUUUUCACGUGAGCUCUGACUCGAGAGAUGGGAGCAGAAGUUGGGCCGGCAGGUUGUUCGGCGCCUCCGACAUCCCAAGGAAAACGGAGGCACAGAGAAGUCAAGCUGCACAUCCGUGGUCAUGCAAGGGCCAGGCCAACUGCUGCCCACUGUGGACACCGUGCGAGGUUACACCGCUCCGGCAAUCGCGGUGCAGGCAGCUGAUGUUUCUGCAUCAGCAGGAUUAAUCAGAUGAGCACAACCUGCAAGACAGGAGCAGGUCUUGAUGCCGGGGCUGGGCGUACUGCCGAGGUCGCUGCCGCACGCUCGGCUUUCCUCGUGAGAAUUCGCUGGGACCCAAGGACAGCACGGCAGCAUUUUGUAAGUCCUCACUGAUGCAUCUCUUCCAAGCCUUCCUGUUCAGGCUCUUUCACAAAAAUAAAAAACCCGCCAGAUUUUCA
This 1103-nucleotide long non-coding RNA is filed under the name Apteryx owenii (little spotted kiwi). RNAcentral's name for it is "lncRNA (ENSAOWG00000006047.1)". The record is from RNAcentral. Lineage: Eukaryota; Metazoa; Chordata; Aves; Apterygiformes; Apterygidae.